Non-coding RNA from Pantherophis guttatus, 746 nucleotides. The record is from RefSeq and is a predicted model, not a curated record. Lineage: Eukaryota; Metazoa; Chordata; Lepidosauria; Squamata; Colubridae.
UUCUUUCCUUUGCUGAUUAGGAAUCUUCCAGAGCUUGCAGGACAGUUCACAUAUCCACUUCAUUACAACGUAUUAGCUUUCAGAGCCAGUAUGGCCAUGAGAAUAAAAGUUCAUGUUGAUAUAGGAUCCAGCUGCUGAUGGCUCAAAGAAUCUCUGACACCAAUUCUCUCUAUAUCUGCAGGCAAUUUUAUCCUUUAAGAGACUGAAAUCCAUUUAAAUGUUUAACUAUGACAACCAUGGCAUUUGGAGUGACUGUAUGUGAUAUAACUGAGACAAAAUACCUGAAGAAUUCAAAUGGAGACUAAACUACAUAAUUUAUCAAAAGCAAUUUAAACAGCUCGUCUGCAGAUGGCAUUUACUUUAUCUUCUGAAAUAUUCCCAUGAAAAGUGAAGAGAACUUGUUAGAAAGAAUGCAAACAGAGCGUGAAACAGUCAUCAUGGACUAUUAAUGUAUCCUUAAUACAUGAACUGAACUGGAAACACAUCACUGAAAGGAGGAGGUAGGAGAGUGGCUGCAGGCAUGCAGCUGCCUCUCUGCCCUCUUCUCCAUGCUAUGAUCUAUGGAUAUGACAUGCAAUACACUAUUUGCCUUCUCUCUCUUCCUUCUUCCUUCAGGAGCAGUGAAGAGAUCCAAUCAGACUGCAAGAAAUGCUGAAGGGGGGGUGGUAGGUCAUCCUGAAACAUCCAUUGUGAUUCUUUCAACAGCACAUCCAUUUAUACGCAAAAAUAUAUGUCAAUACUAUGAA